This 253-nucleotide ribosomal RNA is filed under the name uncultured bacterium. Its description in RNAcentral is "partial 16S ribosomal RNA". It matches the Rfam family "Bacterial small subunit ribosomal RNA", at positions 524 to 776 of the family's 1533-position model. The record is from RNAcentral.
UACGAAGGGGGCUAGCGUUGUUCGGAAUUACUGGGCGUAAAGCGCGCGCAGGCGGCUAUCCAAGUCAGUGGUGAAAGCCCGGAGCUCAACUCCGGAACUGCCAUUGAAACUGUUUAGCUUGAGUAUGAGAGAGGUGAGUGGAAUUCCCAGUGUAGAGGUGAAAUUCGUAGAUAUUAGGAAGAACACCGGUGGCGAAGGCGGCUCACUGGCUCAUUACUGACGCUCAGGCGCGACAGCGUGGGGAUCAAACAGG